ACGAACGCUGGCGGCGUGCUUAACACAUGCAAGUCGAACGAUGAAGCCUUUCGGGGUGGAUUAGUGGCGAACGGGUGAGUAACACGUGGGCAAUCUGCCCUUCACUUUGGGACAAGCCCUGGAAACGGGGUCUAAUACCGGAUAAUAUUCCUGCCUGCAUGGGUGGGGGUUAAAAGCUCCGGCGGUGAAGGAUGAGCCCGCGGCCUAUCAGCUUGUUGGUGAGGUAGUGGCUCACCAAGGGGACGACGGGUAGCCG
Molecule: ribosomal RNA, 256 nt
Filed under: Streptomyces sp. ISO213_OTU396
Lineage: Bacteria; Bacillati; Actinomycetota; Actinomycetes; Kitasatosporales; Streptomycetaceae
Description: partial 16S ribosomal RNA
Rfam family: Bacterial small subunit ribosomal RNA
Source: RNAcentral